Molecule: non-coding RNA, 69 nt
Organism: Podarcis lilfordi (Lilford's wall lizard)
Lineage: Eukaryota; Metazoa; Chordata; Lepidosauria; Squamata; Lacertidae
Source: the annotation of a GenBank genome assembly
CCAUAGCACAAUGUUAGAGCAACUGCUUUGCAUGCAAAAGGUCCCUGGUUCAAUCUCCAGGUAGGACGA